Molecule: ribosomal RNA, 1343 nt
Filed under: uncultured bacterium
Lineage: Bacteria
Description: 16S ribosomal RNA
Rfam family: Bacterial small subunit ribosomal RNA
Source: RNAcentral
GACGAACGCUGUCGGCGUGCUUAACACAUGCAAGUCGAACGGAAAGGCCCUGCUUUUGUGGGGUGCUCGAGUGGCGAACGGGUGAGUAACACGUGAGUAACCUGCCCUUGACUUUGGGAUAACUUCAGGAAACUGGGGCUAAUACCGGAUAGGAGCUCCUGCUGCAUGGUGGGGGUUGGAAAGUUUCGGCGGUUGGGGAUGGACUCGCGGCUUAUCAGCUUGUUGGUGGGGUAGUGGCUUACCAAGGCUUUGACGGGUAGCCGGCCUGAGAGGGUGACCGGCCACAUUGGGACUGAGAUACGGCCCAGACUCCUACGGGAGGCAGCAGUGGGGAAUAUUGCACAAUGGGCGGAAGCCUGAUGCAGCAACGCCGCGUGCGGGAUGACGGCCUUCGGGUUGUAAACCGCUUUCGCCUGUGACGAAGCGUGAGUGACGGUAAUGGGUAAAGAAGCACCGGCUAACUACGUGCCAGCAGCCGCGGUGAUACGUAGGGUGCGAGCGUUGUCCGGAUUUAUUGGGCGUAAAGGGCUCGUAGGUGGUUGAUCGCGUCGGAAGUGUAAUCUUGGGGCUUAACCCUGAGCGUGCUUUCGAUACGGGUUGACUUGAGGAAGGUAGGGGAGAAUGGAAUUCCUGGUGGAGCGGUGGAAUGCGCAGGUAUCAGGAGGAACACCAGUGGCGAAGGCGGUUCUCUGGGCCUUUCCUGACGCUGAGGAGCGAAAGCGUGGGGAGCGAACAGGCUUAGAUACCCUGGUAGUCCACGCUGUAAACGGUGGGUACUAGGUGUGGGGUCCAUUCCACGGGUUCCGUGCCGUAGCUAACGCUUUAAGUACCCCGCCUGGGGAGUACGGCCGCAAGGCUAAAACUCAAAGGAAUUGACGGGGCCCCGCACAAGCGGCGGAGCAUGCGGAUUAAUUCGAUGCAACGCGUAGAACCUUACCUGGGUUUGACAUGGAUCGGGAGUGCUCAGAGAUGGGUGUGCCUCUUUUGGGGUCGGUUCACAGGUGGUGCAUGCCUGUCGUCAGCUCGUGUCGUGAGAUGUUGGGUUAAGUCCCGCAACGAGCGCAACCCUUGUUCACUGUUGCCAGCACGUUAUGGUGGGGACUCAGUGGAGACCGCCGGGGUCAACUCGGAGGAAGGUGGGGAUGACGUCAAGUCAUCAUGCCCCUUAUGUCCAGGGCUUCACGCAUGCUACAAUGGCUGGUACAGAGAGUGGCGAGCCUGUGAGGGUGAGCGAAUCUCGGAAAGCCGGUCUCAGUUCGGAUUGGGGUCUGCAACUCGACCUCAUGAAGUCGGAGUCGCUAGUAAUCGCAGAUCAGCAACGCUGCGGUGAAUACGUUCCCGGG